GCGUCGUUAGUCUAGUGGUUAAGAUACGAGCUUCCCAAGCUUGUGACGCGAGUUCAAUUCUCGCACGGCGCA
This 72-nucleotide transfer RNA is filed under the name Candidatus Pacearchaeota archaeon. RNAcentral describes it as "tRNA-Gly". It matches the Rfam family "tRNA". From Rfam's summary of the family: Transfer RNA (tRNA) molecules are approximately 80 nucleotides in length. Their secondary structure includes four short double-helical elements and three loops (D, anti-codon, and T loops). The record is from RNAcentral. Lineage: Archaea; Nanobdellati.